UCCCCGAUGAUCCAGUGGUUAAGACUCUGUGCUCCCAAUGCAGGGGGCGCAGGUUUGACCCUUGCUGGGGGAG
RNAcentral lists this transfer RNA (73 nucleotides) under Bos taurus (domestic cattle). It matches the Rfam family "tRNA". Rfam says of the family: Transfer RNA (tRNA) molecules are approximately 80 nucleotides in length. Their secondary structure includes four short double-helical elements and three loops (D, anti-codon, and T loops). The record is from Rfam by way of RNAcentral. Lineage: Eukaryota; Metazoa; Chordata; Mammalia; Artiodactyla; Bovidae. RNAcentral also lists the same sequence under 5 other names.